GGAAUUCGAUUCAGGCCUAACACAUGCAAGUCGAGCGGUAACAGGUUAAGCUGACGAGUGAAGAAAGGGUGAGUAAUGCAUUGGAACGUUCCCGGUCGUGGGGGAUAUCGCAGCGAAAGCUGCGCUAAUGCCGCAUGCGAUGAGAGGAUGAAAGCGGGGGGCCGUAAGGCUUUGCGCGAUCGGAGCGGCCGAUGUCAGAUUAGGUAGUUGGUGGGGUAAAGGCUCACCAAGCCAAUGAUCUGUAGCUGGUCUGAGAGGACGAACAGCCACACUGGGACUGAGACGCGGGCCAGACUCGUACGGGAGGCGGCAGUGGGGAAUUUUGGACAAUGGGGGAAAGCGUGAUCCAGCAAGGCCGCGUGCAGGAAGAAGGCCUUCGGGUUGUAUUCUAAUGAGUACGGAGCGAAAAGAUCCCCUUUAAUACAGGGGGUCAUGACGGU
This 440-nucleotide ribosomal RNA is filed under the name uncultured bacterium. RNAcentral describes it as "bacterial SSU rRNA". It matches the Rfam family "Bacterial small subunit ribosomal RNA", at positions 36 to 477 of the family's 1533-position model. The record is from RNAcentral.